This 328-nucleotide ribosomal RNA is filed under the name uncultured eukaryote. RNAcentral's name for it is "partial 18S ribosomal RNA". It matches the Rfam family "Eukaryotic small subunit ribosomal RNA", at positions 1470 to 1796 of the family's 1831-position model. The record is from RNAcentral.
CCCUUAGAUGCCCUGGGCCGCACGCGCGUUACACUGAUGCAUUCAACGAGCUUAUAACCUUGGCCGAGAGGCCUGGGCAAUCUUGUUAACGUGCAUCGUGAUAGGGAUAGAUUAUUGAAAUUAUUAAUCUUGAACGAGGAAUUCCUAGUAAACGCAGAUCAUCAAUCUGCAUUGAUUACGUCCCUGCCCUUUGUACACACCGCCCGUCGCACCUACCGAUUGGAUGGUCCGGUGAAGCCUCGGGAUUGUGGUUCUUGCCGCUUUAUUGUAGCGUGACCGCGAGAACUUGUCUAAACCUUAUCAUCUAGAGGAAGGUGAAGUCGUAACA